Armillaria nabsnona is the source of this 89-nucleotide non-coding RNA. The record is from the annotation of a GenBank genome assembly. Lineage: Eukaryota; Fungi; Basidiomycota; Agaricomycetes; Agaricales; Physalacriaceae.
UCGGAUAUGGUGUAACGGCUAACAUUGCCGCCUUUCAUUUGAAACGAUGAUUUUCGCGGCAGCUCGGGGUUCGAUUCCCCGUAUCCGAA